AAUACAUGCAGUCGAGCGGACAGAUGGGAGCUUGCUCCCUGAUGUUAGCGGCGGACGGGUGAGUAACACGUGGGUAACCUGCCUGUAAGACUGGGAUAACUCCGGGAAACCGGGGCUAAUACCGGAUGCUUGUUUGAACCGCAUGGUUCAAACAUAAAAGGUGGCUUCGGCUACCACUUACAGAUGGACCCGCGGCGCAUUAGCUAGUUGGUGAGGUAACGGCUCACCAAGGCAACGAUGCGUAGCCGACCUGAGAGGGUGAUCGGCCACACUGGGACUGAGACACGGCCCAGACUCCUACGGGAGGCAGCAGUAGGGAAUCUUCCGCAAUGGACGAAAGUCUGACGGAGCAACGCCGCGUGAGUGAUGAAGGUUUUCGGAUCGUAAAGCUCUGUUGUUAGGGAAGAACAAGUACCGUUCGAAUAGGGCGGUACCUUGACGGUACCUAACCAGAAAGCCACGGCUAACUACGUGCCAGCAGCCGCGGUAAUACGUAGGUGGCAAGCGUUGUCCGGAAUUAUUGGGCGUAAAGGGCUCGCAGGCGGUUCCUUAAGUCUGAUGUGAAAGCCCCCGGCUCAACCGGGGAGGGUCAUUGGAAACUGGGGAACUUGAGUGCAGAAGAGGAGAGUGGAAUUCCACGUGUAGCGGUGAAAUGCGUAGAGAUGUGGAGGAACACCAGUGGCGAAGGCGACUCUCUGGUCUGUAACUGACGCUGAGGAGCGAAAGCGUGGGGAGCGAACAGGAUUAGAUACCCUGGUAGUCCACGCCGUAAACGAUGAGUGCUAAGUGUUUAGGGGGUUUCCGCCCCUUAGUGCUGCAGCUAACGCAUUAAGCACUCCGCCUGGGGAGUACGGUCGCAAGACUGAAACUCAAAGGAAUUGACGGGGGCCCGCACAAGCGGUGGAGCAUGUGGUUUAAUUCGAAGCAACGCGAAGAACCUUACCAGGUCUUGACAUCCUCUGACAAUCCUAGAGAUAGGACGUCCCCUUCGGGGGCAGAGUGACAGGUGGUGCAUGGUUGUCGUCAGCUCGUGUCGUGAGAUGUUGGGUUAAGUCCCGCAACGAGCGCAACCCUUGAUCUUAGUUGCCAGCAUUCAGUUGGGCACUCUAAGGUGACUGCCGGUGACAAACCGGAGGAAAGGUGGGGAUGACGUCAAAUCAUCAUGCCCCUUAUGACCUGGGCUAC
Molecule: ribosomal RNA, 1185 nt
Filed under: Bacillus halotolerans
Lineage: Bacteria; Bacillati; Bacillota; Bacilli; Caryophanales; Bacillaceae
Description: bacterial SSU rRNA
Rfam family: Bacterial small subunit ribosomal RNA
Source: RNAcentral